This 486-nucleotide ribosomal RNA is filed under the name uncultured bacterium. RNAcentral's name for it is "bacterial SSU rRNA". It matches the Rfam family "Bacterial small subunit ribosomal RNA", at positions 28 to 524 of the family's 1533-position model. The record is from RNAcentral.
GACGAACGCUGGCGGCGUGCUUAACACAUGCAAGUCACGGGGGCCCGCAAGGGUAACCGGCGAACGGGUGCGUAACACGUGAACAAUCUGCCUAGAUGUGGGGGAUAGCCGGCCCAACGGCCGGGUAAUACCGCAUACGCUCUUCGGGUGGCAUCACUUGAAGAGGAAACCUCCGGGGGCAUCUAGAGGAGUUCGCGGCCUAUCAGCUAGUUGGUGGGGUAACGGCCUACCAAGGCAAUGACGGGUAGCUGGUCUGAGAGGAUGGCCAGCCACAUUGGGACUGAGAUACGGCCCAGACUCCUACGGGAGGCAGCAGUGGGGAAGUAUUGCGCAAUGGCCGAAAGGCUGACGCAGCGACGCCGCGUGGGGGAUGAAGCAUUUCGGUGUGUAAACCCCUGUUGCUCGGGACGAACAACUGGAUUUGUCCAGUCUGACGGUACCGGGUGAGGAAGCACCGGCUAACUCCGUGCCAGCAGCCGCGGUAAU